UCAGUCCGUCGUCUCCCCGUCGCCGUCGGUGUCGCGGCACAAGGUCAACGAGAUAGCCGCCGCCAAAAUCCCUCUAUCUCAGCUCCUCCUCCGUCUUCCACACCGCCGCCGCCGCCGCUUCAAUUUUCUCCACAGAAAUCCACCCCCAUCGUGCCGAGCCACCACCGAAGCCUUCCUCUCCCGCUCCUCCUCCCCGUUUCACACCGCCGCUGCCGCUCCCGCCGUCGGAGCCGUGGGAUUGCCGUAAGUUUUUUAUUUAUUCUGCAUAAUUAUAUUUUAUAUAUUUUUAUAUAUUUUAUUAUCAAUGAUUCAUGAAUUAUUUUUAUUAGAAAACAAAAGAAAAAUUAUUUCUUUAAAAAAAAAAAAAAAAAAAAAAAAUCGAAAUAAUGUUGACAGCUGCAAUUUGAUUGAAUUAAUGUGAAGGUGGUUGAAGGGGCAAGAACGAGAGGACAU
This 453-nucleotide long non-coding RNA is filed under the name Erythranthe guttata (spotted monkey flower). Its description in RNAcentral is "long non-coding RNA (EGUT_LNC002335)". The record is from RNAcentral. Lineage: Eukaryota; Viridiplantae; Streptophyta; Magnoliopsida; Lamiales; Phrymaceae.